Molecule: non-coding RNA, 45 nt
Organism: Schistosoma rodhaini
Lineage: Eukaryota; Metazoa; Platyhelminthes; Trematoda; Strigeidida; Schistosomatidae
Source: Rfam
AUCCAGCUAAUGAAUCCCAAAUAGGACGAAACGCGCUUCCUGGAU